Molecule: ribosomal RNA, 433 nt
Filed under: uncultured bacterium
Lineage: Bacteria
Description: bacterial SSU rRNA
Rfam family: Bacterial small subunit ribosomal RNA
Source: RNAcentral
UGAGGAAUAUUGGUCAAUGGGCGGGAGCCUGAACCAGCCAAGCCGCGUGAGGGAUGAAGGCCCUAUGGGUCGUAAACCUCUUUUGUCAGGGAACAAAAGCGAGUAUGUAUACUAGUCUGAGUGUACCUGAAGAAAAAGCAUCGGCUAACUCCGUGCCAGCAGCCGCGGUAAUACGGAGGAUGCGAGCGUUAUCCGGAUUUAUCGGGUUUAAAGGGUGCGUAGGCGGCGAUGCAAGUCAGCGGUAAAAGCCCGGGGCUCAACCCCGGCGAGCCGUUGAAACUGCAGUGCUAGAGAAGGCGAGAGGUACGCGGAAUGCGCAGUGUAGCGGUGAAUGCUUAGAUAUUGCGCAGAACUCCGAUUGCGAAGGCAGCGUACUGGCGCCUGACUGACGCUGAGGCACGAAAGCGUGGGGAUCGAACAGGAUUAGAUACCC